AGGCAGCAGUGGGGAAUUUUGGACAAUGGGGGAAACCCUGAUCCAGCCAUUCCGCGUGUGCGAUGAAGGCCUUCGGGUUGUAAAGCACUUUUGGCAGGAAAGAAAUCGCACCAAUUAAUACUUGGUGUGGAUGACGGUACCUGCAGAAUAAGCACCGGCUAACUACGUGCCAGCAGCCGCGGUAAUACGUAGGGUGCAAGCGUUAAUCGGAAUUACUGGGCGUAAAGCGUGCGCAGGCGGUUCGGAAAGAGAGGUGUGAAAUCCCAGGGCUCAACCUUGGAACUGCACUUUUAACUACCGAGCUAGAGUAUGUCAGAGGGGGGUGGAAUUCCGCGUGUAGCAGUGAAAUGCGUAGAUAUGCGGAGGAACACCGAUGGCGAAGGCAGCCCCCUGGGAUAAUACUGACGCUCAUGCACGAAAGCGUGGGGAGCAAACAGGAUUAGAUACCCUGGUAGUCCACGCCCUAAACGAUGUCAACUAGCUGUUGGGGCCUUCGGGCCUUAGUAGCGCAGCUAACGCGUGAAGUUGACCGCCUGGGGAGUACGGUCGCAAGAUUAAAACUC
This 563-nucleotide ribosomal RNA is filed under the name beta proteobacterium zo33. RNAcentral describes it as "bacterial SSU rRNA". It matches the Rfam family "Bacterial small subunit ribosomal RNA", at positions 346 to 902 of the family's 1533-position model. The record is from RNAcentral. Lineage: Bacteria; Pseudomonadati; Pseudomonadota; Betaproteobacteria.